RNAcentral lists this long non-coding RNA (244 nucleotides) under Gossypium barbadense (sea-island cotton). Its description in RNAcentral is "long non-coding RNA (GBAR_LNC001202)". The record is from RNAcentral. Lineage: Eukaryota; Viridiplantae; Streptophyta; Magnoliopsida; Malvales; Malvaceae.
UUCACCUGUCAACCACAGCCAUUGGUGAGUUCCCUUGUAUAAACUUACUACCACUUAUCCAUUUCCUUUAAUUCUUUUGGGCCCAUUUGUCACAUAUCAUUCUUUAACCAAAUUAGGGAAUGGUUACGGAAAAUUGAGUACUUCACUUUCACUUUGCCAUAGUAUAACUAUGGUCUUGCGUAUGAUCACUUAUCACCUUUUGAAGUCAUAGUCCUGCCACGGUCUUACACUGAUCACAUUUAUC